This 384-nucleotide ribosomal RNA is filed under the name uncultured bacterium. Its description in RNAcentral is "bacterial SSU rRNA". It matches the Rfam family "Bacterial small subunit ribosomal RNA", at positions 28 to 419 of the family's 1533-position model. The record is from RNAcentral.
GACGAACGCUGGCGGCGUGCCUAACACAUGCAAGUCGAACGGGGGUAGCAAUACCUCAGUGGCGAACGGGUGCGUAACACGUGAAGAAUUUGUCUAACGGCGGAGGAUAGCCGGCCCAACGGCCGGGUAAUACCGCGUACGACCUCUGGAGGGCAUCCUCUGGUGGUGAAAGCCGCAAGGCGCCGAUAGAGAACUUCGCGGCCUAUCAGCUAGUUGGCGGGGUAAUGGCCCACCAAGGCGACGACGGGUAGCUGGUCCGAGAGGAUGACCAGCCACAUUGGGACUGAGACACGGCCCAGACUCCUACGGGAGGCAGCAGUGGGGAAUAUUGCGCAAUGGGCGAAAGCCUGACGCAGCGACGCCGCGUGUGGGAUGACGGCCUGG